RNAcentral lists this unclassified non-coding RNA (1951 nucleotides) under Dimorphilus gyrociliatus. RNAcentral's name for it is "dgyrCDS9281". Lineage: Eukaryota; Metazoa; Annelida; Polychaeta; Dinophilidae. The record is from RNAcentral.
GAGUAGAAUAUUAAAAAUCUUUCACUUAAGAGAACGACGACAUCUAUAAGGAAUCUUCCAAAAACAAAUGUAUUGAUGGAGAAAAUAUAGACGUCUACGAACAAAACAACAUAAAGAAGAAAUAACAUUACCCUAUAAGGAAGGAAGAAAGAUUUCAUCGUUAAUAGGUUUAUGAAUAUUAAUAAACAAAAAUAAAGUACGAGAAAAAGGAACUAGUUGAUUAUUUCAAUUUUUUUUAAGAACAAAAAACAAAUAAGAUUAAAGAAGAAGAGUACAUUUCCAGAGAAUAUCGUGAUAGCAAGAAAAGACAGAUAUGGCUUCUCUAGAACUAACUGCUCAGGAAUUAGGAAUAACCGAUAAACAAUGGAAUAUAUUAGCUAAGUUUAAAGAAGUAAUUAAGGAUGAAAUUCGGCCUACACACACCGACUAUUAUCUUGUAAAGUGGCUUAAAGCUCGCAACUAUGACAUUUCGAAAGCUGAAUCGAUGUUUCGAAAUAGUAUGAAGUGGAGGGAUGAAUUUGGUACUGAUAGCCUGUUGACGGAAUUUAAGGAUCCUGAGGUAUUGGAGAAGCAUUGGACAGGUGGGACAACCGGCUUUGAUACGGAUGGUAGACCUUUGUUUCUUAUGGCUUGUAGAGGAAUGGAUUUUAAAGGAAUAUUUAGAUCGGUAAAUAAGUCUGAUUUACAUAAAUUUCAUAUAAAACGAAUGAUGAGAUUGUUGGAAAUAGGAAAGGAACAAACUGCUAAGACGGGAAAGCAGAUCGAUCAAACAACUGUAGUAGCCGAUAUGGAUGGUCUUACUUUAAAGCAAUUCUUCGUUCCAGGAAUGGAUCAAAUGUACGAAGUAUUAAGGAUAUACGAAUCGAAUUUUCCAGAGUUCUUAGGUGCUGCCUACGUUAUCAAUGCGCCAAGGAUAUUCCCUCUUGUAUUCAACGUGUUAAAACCAUUUAUGAGUGAUGAUACUAAAAGGAAAAUUCAUAUUUUUGGAAGUGAUUGGAAGAGUAAAGUUCUUGGCAAGUUUAUUGAAGCUGAUCAAUUACCCGUCAGUUGGGGUGGAACGCAGAUAGAUGAAAAUGGCGACGAAUUUUGUAAAACGAAGGUCAUUUAUGGGACGGAAGUGCCAAAGUCAUAUUUUUUGAAGGAUAAAGGUUUAUUGAAUGAGAAGAAUACAGUAAAGAUUAAUGUUAAGAGGGGAAGUGCUAAGAGGAUUGAAUUUAACGUUGACGAAGAGAAUUCAGCACUGAAAUACGCUUUUCAAACGGAUAAUCAUGAUGUUGGAUUUGGAAUAUUUAAGGCUAAAAAUCCAAAAGAUUCUGUUAAAGAUAUGCAACCGUUAAUUCAACCAAAAAGAUUGAACUGCCAUCUCGUACCAGAAUCAGGAUCUAUACGCCUACAGGAGAAGGGACUUUAUUUGGUUAUUUUUGAUAAUUCGUAUAGUUGGGCAAGGAGUAAAACCGUAUAUUACGAUAUCGAGAUAUUGAAACCAGAUAAGACAUCUGAUAUGAAAGUCGAAGAAUUAAAAGAGGGCGAAGAGGAAGAAGAGGAAAUUGAUGAAAAUUGGAAAACCCAAUUAGAAGACAAGUUAACUGAUAAUGAACGUUGUUAAUCAACUAUCAACUAUCGAAAAAUAAUAAUAAUAAAAAAAAGGAAUAGAAAGGAAUGAUUCAUAAUAAAUAUCGACCUCGAUUUAUGCCAUGAUUUGCGAAGAAUUAUUGAUUUUUUUAAUGCGAAAAAAAACUCUUUUUAUUAAUUCUUCCGUACUGUAAUGGAAAAUCCGAUUUACUUGUAUUAUCAUGACGUCAUUAAUGCUCAGUAUAUACUCUGUACAUGCACUCCUGAUUAUGACGUGUCGAUGCAUAUACAUGUAUAGUGUAUAAAUACUGUUGUACUUUCAUAAACAUUGUACGUAUAAUUGUGUCUGUUAAUUAAUAUAUAUAUAUAUAUAUAUAUA